AAAACUUGUAUCAUUUGCUGUGUAACCAAAACUAUGUAGUCAGUUUGCUAUGCAUGUAACCAAGAUGAAAUCCUAGGAAUGUAGAAGACAAUGGUGUGUUAAUAUAUGUUAAUGAGAGGUAGCUAAGAGAUGUAGAUUAGAACAUGAUUAAGUCACGAAGUAAUAAGAAUGUAAACUUGCUAUUUGCUUGAAACCUUAGGAAUGUAAAAGACAAUGGAAGGUGUUAAUGGAAGGUAGAUAAAGAGAUGUAGAUUAGAACUGUACGUGUGGUACGUGUGAAACUAGACCAGGAUUUUGCUAUAAAAAAUGCCGUGUCUGAGGAUCGGUGGGCAAUCAGCGACUGGCUCAGCUUUGAUUUGCAAAUUAAAGUUUAACCCUUCUGGAAGAAUCUUCUGCGUCUCCUAGUCAUUUGUGGGGCACGAGAAACCACGACAUAAUUGGCGACCUCGGCAGGACCGAAAAGAGACCCGCGGAAAGGAAACGGCAGAUUGGGGACGCUUCCCAGUCCUCCGGGACCCCACAAGGCUAACAGAAUUAAGGGUGCACCCAAACAAAAGGUAAGCGCUUUUGCGACAAUUUGGACUAAGAAUUCUGUUGGCUUUGGGGAGGUCUUGGAGUCUCAGAAGUGUGGGACCACUGCCGAAGGGUCUCUCCGGUCCACAGAAUCUGGCAGAAUUGGGGGUUAACAGAGGAGGCUCAGAGGAUUGAUCAAGAACACUGCAGUGAGGAUGCUCCCUUGCAGAACCUCUUGUGUUUACGAAACACUCAAAGGGGCCACUUUGUUGAAGCCAGCAACGUUUGUGACAGAGCUGCUGGUGUGGGGUACCGUCUCUCUUGUGAGAGAGCAAGGAUGAUCGGGAAUGCUCGACUUGCAAAACGGAUUGGGAAAGAAAUACACUUGAUGUAGAAAGGAACAGAGAACAAGCCAUGGAAAAUCACUGGUGUUUCUGCUGCUCCUCUGCGGUGUUGAAAAUGUUGAAAACUACAGAGCUGUAAUCAAAUCUCAGUUGGUUUCUCUGGCUAGAAUGGACAAAGUAUGACACAUGGCCCUGACUUUUCCAAAAGGAUCAAGGGAUCAACAAUCACGGAUCAAUUUUAUACAACAUACAUAUUCACAUGUAUUUGGAAUUUGCUGUGUGUGUUGGUCCGGGCACGACUUGCAACAAAAGAAAAACAGCAUUCAACAAUUAUAUAAAAAAAGAAUGAUAUAAAAAUAGAGGUUGAAAUGGAUAUGUAAUAAAAUGUGCAUAAAUACAUAAAUACCAGCAUGUACAGAUGGCUUCGGCAUUGUCUAAGGCUUUUGCACAGUACUGUAUUUGUCAACAUGGAGCGGCAGAGAGCGAGUUUGUAAUCUGGCAGGAACAAAGGCUGUUGGGAAUGCCAAGGGUGGCACACUGCCAUUGGAGGGGUGUGGGACAUGUGGCAGCAAAGGAGUGUUGGGGCAGUGGGUGGCACAAAUGCAGAUACAACCAACCCUGAGACACCAGGCAAGGUCAAUUGAUCCCAAACAAUUGGCUUAUUGAUUAUUACAGAACGUCUCUGGCGCUUCCCUCUUCCUUCCCCUCUUCCCAUCCAUGAUUCCCCUCUCCCUGCCCCCUUCCCACUCUCAGUCCGUGAUGCACCAUCAGUAACUCACACUGAGACGUAAAGGCGAGAUAUCGGCUUUUAUUGACUGGAAGAAGGAACCAGCAGUGAGUGACCACCAUACUACAUCCUGGAGACUGAGAGGCCGGGCUCAGGCCUCAAUCGCCUUUAUACAGGGGUCUGUGGGAGGAGCCACAGGGGCAGUCAGCAGGGGGCAUGUCCAGACAGGUAUAUGUAGUUCACCACAGUCUGCAAUAGAGGCCCAUAUCAGAAUCAGAUUUAUCAUCGCUCAGGUAUGUCAUAAUUUUUUGUUGCAGCAGUACAGGGUAAUAUACAAUUGCGUGAGUACUAUGUGCAAGUCUUUGGCCCCCUAGCUACAUACAUGUGCUCAAGGCUUUUGCACGCCAGUGUAUUUACAAUGCAAACUGCAUUAUAAUAGUGGGGUUAAAGUGCUUACAGUUUACCAUUAAGGUGCAUAAAGGUACACAAGCUAUACUGCUCUGGAACCUGCCCGUCAUACAGUAAAGGCAAUUCCCGGAUCAUGGUAUUACAUUCAAGGAUGGUACUCUGGUCUUACUCUGAUCAUAUGAACCAUCUCUUAAACGGGCCCUCUUUUACAUCAACAGUCAUAGCUGACAAGUUGAUGAUGGAUUAGUUCUGUGCCCAGUAUUUGGUCUCAUUUGGAGGGAUGGGGGCGAGUGAAGUGGGUAAUAAAUAGAGGGGGGUUCGGGUGGGGGGCUAAGUAGGAUGGCUGAUCAGAAUAACUGCUUGGAGGAAGAAACUUUUGAGAUGGUGUGAGUUUUUUGUUUCGUAAUAGCCCUAUAAUGCUAUGCUGAAGGGAGUUUUGGAGAAGGCAGUUUGCAGCAUGGGUAGUGUCCACAAAGCUUUCUCCUGCUGGCUUCUUUGUCCUGGACAAAUGCAGUGAUGGUUGACAGCGUCCAAUGACCUUUUCUUUCAACCUGAAGGUUUUGUAUACUGUGUUUGAGGACGCGGUACUAACCAGACAGCUGAUAAGUAGAUGCUCUCGUGAAGGCGGUGUAGGGUGUUCCAACAGGCUCCCUUGUUCACCCUGCACAUCAGUCAGGCCAUAGAGUCAUACAGAAUAGAAAGAGGCCCUUUGGCCCCAAUCUUCCAUGCUGACCAUGGAACCCACUCAGGUAGUCCCAUUUGCCAUGUUUGGCCCACAUCCCUCUGACCCACAACUACAUUGUUCGAAGUACAUGCAUUCGAGCACAUAUGGGGUAUCCAGGGAGGGGUAGCAGUUCUGAUAAAAGGAUUUGCCUUCUGGGGCAGCUCCCCACCAGACACUCACCUCUCACCUGUGGCUCCACGUAGGUGUCUGCACGUGACAGCGGCCUCACCCCAGUACACCCUACGACAGGUGGGCUAAACCACGUGAGGGCAGCUGUCAGCCUCACACCCUUUUGAGACAGGGGCAUGCCUGUCCUCGCUUGCGAAGUCAGCUCUGGUGGACGAGAUCGACGGUGAGGGUGGCGGUAUGGCGGAGAGCAAAGAGCACGACGAGGCACAGAAAUGGCCAUCCACGGCAACCAAGGAAGACCCCAGCCUGCGACUCUUGUUCGUACCACUGGACCCGGACUUCCGAUGUCGAGAGAGUGGAACUGUCGCAGUGCAGCAGCUUUUCCAUUUGAAAAACUCUCCUGCAUAGGUCUGCUGUCAUCGUUGGACACAAUGGACAGCCACCAUAUUAUACACAGCCUUGAGGUUCGUCUCCUUACAGGCAGCUACACGACAAGGAAAUCCAGUAGAACUGUCAGGCACCCACCGUGCAAACAACAGGAGUAAGCAGACAGCAUUCAGACAACACACACAAAAUGCUGGUGGAACGCAGCAGGCCAGGCAGCAGCUGUAGGGAGAAGCGCUGUCGACGUUUCGGGCUGAGACCCUUCGUCAGGAAAGCAUUCAGAACUGAAGCUCACAAAAGAGAGUCUGCAGCCAGGAGGCAGUUCAUCGCUGCAGUCGAUCCAAGAGCCCGUCAGUUGCAAAACAGAGCCUCAAUUCAGCGGGAUGAAUGAACCUCGAGAGCACUGGCCUGUUCCCCUGUCUCCAGCCCCGACACCCUGAUCUCUUCAUUCUGGCCCGGCGCUUAAAUCAGUGACACAUUGGCUUGAUCCUCGCUCUCGGGCCACACUGCCUCAACUCUGCCUCGGUUCUGCCCCCUUGAAUAUCGACUAAACGCUGUUAUUGACUCUAUUUCUACCACUUUCUCCAGAAGCUUGUUCUAUAUACCCACCCCCCCCCUGCAAUGAAGAAGUUACCCUUUUAAACCUUUCACCUCUCAGCUUAAACUUAAGCCCUCUAGUUUGUAGUUACCCUUCUUUGGGAAAAAGACCAUGUACCUCCCGUACCUAAUAAAGUAGCCACUGAGUGUACGUUCACUGUCUUCUGCUGCUGUAGCCCAUCCACUUCACGGUUCGACGUGUUGUGCAUUCAGAGAUGCUCUUCUGCACAUCACUGUUGUAAAAUGUGGUUAAUUGAGUUACUGUCGCCUUCCUGUCCAUUUGAACCAGUCUGGCCGUUCUCCUCUGACCUCUCAUUUACAAGGCAUUUUCACCCACAGAACUAUCACUAACUGGAUAUUUCUUGCUUUUCCCAUCAUUCCCUAUAAACUAAGGAGACUGUUGUGCAUGAAAAUCCCAGGAGAUCAGCAGUUUUUAAGAUACUCAAACCACCCCGUUUGGCACCAACAAUCAUUCAACAGUCAAAGUUACUUAGAUCACAUUUCUUCCCCAUUCUGAUGUUUGGCCUGAAUUUUAGUUGAAUCUCUUGACCACGUCUGCAUGCUUUUAUACAUUAAGUUGUUGCCACAAGAUUGGCUGUUUAGAUAUUAAGGAAAUAAGUGCAAAUAUUAUUAUUUGCAUUAAUAAAAUGGCCACUAGUGUAUAAGGUCUCUCCUCAAUAAGUAAGGCUAUUCAACAUCUCCACCCAGUAAUCCACCCCCAGAGUUAAAGUACUGUAUGUACAGACUCUCUUGUGCCUACCAUCACUUUAUGAACAUACAAACAGUUUAUGUGUAUUAGCAAUCUUACAUAUUUAUAUUUAUUGUGUUUUUUAUUAUUGUUGUGUUUUUUUGUACUGCAUUGGAUCCGGAGUAACAAUUUUUUGUUCUCCUUUACACUUGUUUACUGGGAAUUUUAUUAAACAAUCUUGAAUCUUUCAUUAAAAAUUUUUUACUAGACAAUUUUGAAUCUAGUUUACUCCGCAGGGUCUCACACAAGCAAGGAAUUUUAUUGCACCCUGGUUAUAUGACAAUAAACUAACCAGAACCGGAAUGAGGGAAGCCGAUGAGGCAACACGGAGAGUGUGCAAACCCCACGUUGGGGAUCUGAUUGAAACAUACAAGAUUAUUAAGGGAUUGGACACGCUAGAGGCAGGAAACAUGUUCCCGAUGUUGGAGGAGUCCAGAACCAAAGGCCACAGUUUAAGAAUAAGGGGUAGGCCAUUUAGAACGGAGUUCAGGAAAAACUUUUUCACCCAGAGAGUUGUGGAUCUAUGGAAUGCUCUGCCUCAGAAGGCAGUGGAGGCCAAUUCUCUGGAUGCUUUCAAGAAAGAGUUAGAUAGAGCUCUUAAAGAUAGCGGAGUCAAGGGAUAUGGGGAGAGGGCAGGAACGGGGUACUGAUUGUGGAUGAUCAGCCAUGAUCACAUUGAAUGGCGGUACUGACUCAAAGGGGCAAAUGGCCCACUCCUGCACAUAUUGUCUAUUGACAGCACUGGAACUGUACCACCAGCUCCCCAAGUCUCCUCUUCCUACACAACUGUCUAGGCUCCAUCUCAAUUUGAGUUUAAUGGCUCCAACAUCAACCAACGUGCCUUAAGCUCUGAAGUUCUCUCCCUGACCAUCUCUGCCUCUCCACCUCCUCUUAUAAAACACUCCACAAGACCUACCUCUCGGUCACCUGCCUUAAUACCGUUCUUUCUGUUUCCUUGGACUUUGAUUUUGUUCAAUAACAACCCAUCUCAAUGCCCCAGCACGAGUUGCUUUUGGAAAGAUGCUGUAUAAAUGGAUGAGCAUCACACUUUUUAAAAGCUAUUUAUUAAUGCUUUUUGGGAGGGUGAUUUUAGAUGCAUAUCAUAUUUAUACUGAGUUAAAUACUGUAUGUAAUUAGUUUUGCUACAAUAAGUGUAUGGGACACUGGAAAAAUGUUGAAUUUCCCCUUGGGGAUUAAUAAAGUAUCUAUCUAUCUAUCUAUCUAUCUAUCUAUCUAAUGCUGGAGGGACUCAGCAAGUCAGGCAGUAUCUAUGGAGGUGAAUAAAUAGUUGGCAUCUUGGGCCAAGAGCCUUUAUCAGGAUUUGCAGAAAUCCUCCAGAUUUUGUGUUGUUAUUGAAAAAAAAAUCAAAGAACAAGGAACCAGUAUCUGUAGAAUCUCUUGUGUCUAUAUACAGUAUACGGAUGAUAUUUUUGGCAGAAAGAUGAAUUUCCUAUCUUCUAGAUUGGAGCAUGGGAGACUCCUCUUUCUGCCAAAAACAACAACCGUUUAUACGGGCACCAGAGAUUCUGCAGAUGCAGAGAUGUUUGCUGGAUCCUCCUGAGUAUUGUGUUCAGUUCUGGUCACCUCAUUACAGGAAUGAUGUGGAAACUUCAGUGAGAGUGCAGAGAAGAUUUACCAGGAUUCUGCCUGGAUUAGAGAACAUGCUACGAGGGAAGGCUGAACGAGCUUGGGCUUCUCUCUUUGGGGCAAAAGAGGAUGAACUUACUUUACCUUAUUGUCACGAAACAAUUGAUACUAGAGCGUACAAUCCUCACAGUGAUAUUUGAUUCUGCGCUUCGCACUCCAUGAAGUACAAAUCGAAUUAAAUAUAAUAAAAAUUUAAAUUAUAAAUCAUAAUUAGAAAAUAGAAAGGGGAAAGUAAGGUAGUGCAAGUCAGGUCCGGAUAUUUGGAAGGUACGGCCCAGAUCCGGGUCAGGAUCUGUUCAGCAGUCUUAUCACAGUUGGGAAGAAGCUGUUCCCAAAUCUGGCCGUACGAAUCUUCAUGCUCCUGAACCUUCUCCCAGAGGGAAGAGGGACAAAAAGUGUGUCCGCUACUCCUUCUGAAGUCAACAACCAAUUCCUUCGUCUUGCUGACGUUGAGGGAUAGGUUAUUGUCUUUGCACCAUGCCACCAGGUUCUUAAUUUCCUCUCCGUACUCAGACUCAUCAUUACCCAAGAUACGGCCGACAAUUGUGGUGUCAUCAGCAAACUUAUAUAUUGAGUUCAAUUGAAACUUGGCUACACAACUACGGGUGUACAGUGAGUACAGCAGGGGGCUGAGUACACAGCCCUGUGGGGCACCGGUGCUCAGAGUGAUUGUAGAGGAGAGCUUGUCCCCUAUUCUUACAGCCUGGGUCCUGUCUGUGAGGAAGUUGAAGAUCCAGCUGCAGAUCUGAGUGUCAAGACCCAGGUUCCAGAGCUUAGGAAUCAGGAUGAGAGGUGAUUUGAUAUGAUUAUAAGAGAUAGGAGUGGACAGUCAGAGACUUCUUCCCAGGCCAACAAUGGCUAAUACCAGAGGACAUUCUUUUAAGGCAAAUGGAGGAAAAUACUGGGGAGAUGUCAGAGGUAGUUUUAUUUUGCACAUAGAGUGGUAGAUGCCAUGAACACACUGCCGGGUGAGUUGAGUCUAAUACAUUAGGGACUUUUAAGAGGUUCUAAGGUAGGCACAUGUUUGAAAAAAAAUGGAGGGUUAUGCGUGUGGCAAGGGUUAGGUUGGUCUUGGAGCAGGUUAAAGUGUCUGCACAACAUUGUGGGCUGAAGCCGGUACUGUGCCGCGCUGUUGUGUGUUCUAUGUUCUGUGACAGCACAGAUACUGUGGGCUGAAGGGCCUGUGCUGUUCGAUGUCUGAUGCUGGGGAGGGUGGAACGUGGGAUGGGUCACUAACAGGCUGGCACGGCAGCUGAGCAAGGGGAAUUGGUCGCCGUGGGAACAGAAUUUGCAGCAGAGGUGAAGAAUUUUAAAAGCGUUCAUCACUUUUUAAGAACAUCUGCCUCUUCAUGCAGUGAGUUUUCGAGGAGGAAGGGAGGGACCGGAAUAUAGACUAUGACUCGACAAGGCAAAGCAAGCGCAGCAUAUGUUCUGACACAUCCUCUCACUUUGCACCAUACUUGCUGUUCAUUCAAUUUUUCUUAUUUUAAAUAACAAAGUUCUUUCGAAAUUGGGAGAUGAGACCUGGAGCUCCCUCAGGCUCAAUGGGGCCCUUUCCUUCCAUUGUGGUUUGUUCCUGUUUUCUGAAUCCCUGAGUCACCAGGCCUGGCCUGGAGAUGGUCACUGAGUCAUUUCCUUUCUGAGGAUGACAUCACCUCUUUUUAAAGGAUGUGACCGUCGCACCAUCCCUCGGCAGCGUGCAGCAGCAGAGGGCGACAGAGAGGCAAGCACGCCUCAGGCAGCCAGCCUUCGGACCAGACGGUCUGACACAGUGGCGUUAAUUCUGUCCGAACUUCAACAUUUCUUCCACUGUAAUUUUAGCUAUGGUCCAACUGCUGGCAGCCUCUCCUGAGGAGGGUCAGUAACAUCGUAAAGGAUCCCACUCACUCCGCUCAUGGACUCUUUGUCCCACUCCCUUCAGGGAGGAGGCUACGUAGCAUCCAUGCCAAGACCACCAGACUCAAAAACCGUCACUUUUCCUAAGGAGUAAGGCUGAUCAACACCUCCACCCAUUAACCCACCCCUCCGCCACUACAUUAUCACUUCCUGUCAGGGUCACAUGAUGUACUCCUGUGCCUAGCGUCACUUUAUGGACAUACAAUUAACCUAUGCAUAUAAGCUAUCUUGGAUAUUUAUAUUUAUUGUGUUUUUGCAAUUAUUGAGCUCCUUAUCUUAGUGUAUAUUUUAUAUGUUGUAUUGGACCCGGAGUAACAACUAUUUUGUUCUCCUUUGCACUUAUGUAUUGGAUGUGGCAUUAAAUAAUCUUGAAUCUUAAAUAAAACUGAUGUUCUCAGUAUUAUUUAUUUUGUUUUUGCACAGUUUGUCUUCUUUAGCACAUUGGUUGUUUGUCAGUGUUUGUGUGUAGCUUUUCAUAGCUUCUAUUAUAUUUCCUAGUUCUACUCCGAAUGCCCGCAAAAAGUGAAUCUCAGAGUAGUAUAUGGUGAUA
Long non-coding RNA from Hypanus sabinus (Atlantic stingray), 8667 nucleotides. RefSeq lists it as uncharacterized. The record is from RefSeq and is a predicted model, not a curated record. Lineage: Eukaryota; Metazoa; Chordata; Chondrichthyes; Myliobatiformes; Dasyatidae. The transcript has 3 exons.